GGCGGGGCGGCGUGCUAUACAUGCAAGUCGAGCGAACUUAGAAAAGCUUGCUUUUCUAAGUUAGCGGCGGACGGGUGAGUAACACGUGGGCAACCUGCCUACAAGACUGGGAUAACUUCGGGAAACCGGAGCUAAUACCGGAUAAUAUAAAGAACCUCCUGGUUCUUUAUUGAAAGAUGGUUUCGGCUAUCACUUGUAGAUGGGCCCGCGGCGCAUUAGCUAGUUGGUGAGGUAAUGGCUCACCAAGGCGACGAUGCGUAGCCGACCUGAGAGGGUGAUCGGCCACACUGGGACUGAGACACGGCCCAGACUCCUACGGGAGGCAGCAGUAGGGAAUCUUCCACAAUGGACGAAAGUCUGAUGGAGCAACGCCGCGUGAGUGAUGAAGGUUUUCGGAUCGUAAAGCUCUGUUGUUAGGGAAGAACAAGUGCGAGAGUAACUGCUCGCACCUUGACGGUACCUAACCAGAAAGCCACGGCUAACUACGUGCCAGCAGCCGCGGUAAUACGUAGGUGGCAAGCGUUGUCCGGAAUUAUUGGGCGUAAAGCGCGCGCAGGUGGUUUCUUAAGUCUGAUGUGAAAGCCCACGGCUCAACCGUGGAGGGUC
This 606-nucleotide ribosomal RNA is filed under the name bacterium. RNAcentral describes it as "bacterial SSU rRNA". It matches the Rfam family "Bacterial small subunit ribosomal RNA", at positions 34 to 624 of the family's 1533-position model. The record is from RNAcentral.